AUGUCUUGCUUUGAUCUAACUAAAUCUCUGUGUGAAGAUAUUGGCAAGAUGAUUUGCCGGUACUGGUGGAGUCAGCAGGACGGCAAGGACAAGUGCCAUUGGGUCAGCUGGGAACGGAUGACAAAAUCAAAAAAGGAAGGGGGUCUUGGUCUCAGGGAUCUGCACUUAUUCAAUAUGGCAAUGCUAUCUCGGCAAAGCUGGAGGCUCCUGCAGUUUCCAGACACCCUUUGUGCAACUGUUUUGAAAGCAAAAUAUUUCCCUGAGUGCUCCAUUCUUGAGGUUGUAGCUCAACCAGGCGCGUCGUACACUUGGCGGAGUAUUUUACUUGGGCGUGAUCUGUUAAAGGAAGGGAUAGUGUGGAGAAUUGGUGACGGCACCUCUGUGCGGGUCUGGACCGACCCUUGGAUUCCGAGGGGUUCUUCUAGACAGCCAGCGACACAUCAAGGACAUGCAAUAGUCUCUAAAGUCUCGGAGCUCAUUAACCCAGUCACCGACCAGUGGAAUGAGGCCCUAGUGCGUAUGCUUUUUUCGGAGGAGGAUGCACACUCAAUUCUGGCUAUACUCCUGAGGCAGGGCAUGGAGGACUUCAUUUCCUGGCAUUUUGACAAGAGAGGUCAGUUCUCGGUCAAAUCUGCUUAUCAGCUGGGGGUUGCCAUCCGAGAGAGAAGCCUACACCAUGAUGCCAGCACUUCUGCUAUUCAAGAACAGGGAUCCCCCCUCUGGAACAAAUUGUGGCCUUUGGGUGUUCCGAGCAAGGUGCGCUUGUUCACUUGGCGUCUGGCUCAUAAUAGCCUACCCACAAGACUGAAUAUCAAUAGAAAACAGAUCGAGCUUGACACUCGUUGCCCCAUGUGCCUGCGCUUGGAUGAAGAUGGUGGUCACCUGUUUCUUAAGUGCAAGAAGGUGAAAGCCCUGUGGCGGGAAAGAUGCCUGGAAGAUAUUCGGGUAGCCCUAUGUGAAUGCAAGAGCCCAAAGGAGGUCCUCGGACAGAUCUGGACGCUUCCCCAGGAUAAACAGGUGCAUGUGGUCUCUCUCCUGUGGGACUGGUGGACAGCAAGAAACAAGGACACAGGCUCCGGUGCAUGGGGCUUCAUUGCGCGGGAUGAGGCGGGCUCUUUCAUUGCUGCAGCAGCAGGCAAACUUGAUCAUGUCCAAAACGCUCUUCAGGCUGAAGCUUUGGCUUGUCUCAAGGCGAUCGAGGGGGCUGCUGACCUGGGAGCUUAUAGGAUUGCGUUUGAAUCAGACUGUCAGGUUUUGGUGGGGGCGCUGAAGUCAAGAUAUUAUGAUAAUUCCUACAUUGGCAUCCUCCUGCGUGAGGCUCGUAGUUUAUGCUAUACCUCUUUUGAGGUCUCAGACUUCUUAUUCUGUAGGAGAACCUGUAAUACUGCUGCACAUUUGUUGGCGCAGUUUGGUCUGAAGGCGUCGGUGCCUUUCACCAUUUGGGCAGAUGGUGCCCCUGACUGUGUUGCUGGUGUGGUGACUAGCGAAAGUGCUAGGAGCCAAGUAUGA
Molecule: ribosomal RNA, 1509 nt
Filed under: Triticum aestivum (bread wheat)
Lineage: Eukaryota; Viridiplantae; Streptophyta; Magnoliopsida; Poales; Poaceae
Description: partial small subunit ribosomal RNA
Source: RNAcentral